ACGACUCUCGGCAACGGAUAUCUCGGCUCUCGCAUCGAUGAAGAACGCAGCAAAAUGCGAUACUUGGUGUGAAUUGCAGAAUCCCGUGAACCAUCGAGUUUUUGAACGCAAGUUGCGCCCGAAGCCAUUAUGCUGAGGGCACGUCUGCCUGGGCGUCACGC
This 161-nucleotide ribosomal RNA is filed under the name Forsythia x intermedia. RNAcentral's name for it is "5.8S ribosomal RNA". It matches the Rfam family "5.8S ribosomal RNA". From Rfam's summary of the family: 5.8S ribosomal RNA (5.8S rRNA) is a component of the large subunit of the eukaryotic ribosome. RNAcentral also lists the same sequence under 14 other names. The record is from RNAcentral. Lineage: Eukaryota; Viridiplantae; Streptophyta; Magnoliopsida; Lamiales; Oleaceae.